Molecule: long non-coding RNA, 216 nt
Organism: Cydia fagiglandana
Lineage: Eukaryota; Metazoa; Arthropoda; Insecta; Lepidoptera; Tortricidae
Exons: 3
Source: RefSeq, a predicted model, not a curated record
AUACUAGUAAAUAGCUGCUUCACACACGUCGGAGUCACCCUCACCAUGCGAGUCUUACUUCUAUUAUUUUUGCUGGCCCCUCUUGAAGUCUUUUGCAGACAUCCGAACCGCCGAGUCCAGCGAAUUCUAGAAGCGAGGCAGAGACGACGUCAUAACCCUCAAUUUAAUUAUACCGCUGUCGGCGAACUUUUAAGUGCGACGUUGGAAAAGAUUAUG